GUCAAGUUGAUUGUUUUUACAAGACAGACUAGGGGCUUGGAGAGAGAAACAAGAUCAUUUACAGCAAAGGCUGAGCCUCUAAAACGUUCAAUGUGGAUUUAGACUUAUUUGUUCCCCACUUAUUCACUGACUAAAUAGCCUCUUGGUUCAUUAGUUUUAAGUACUACAGCUAAAUCAUUCACAUUUCACAGAAAAUGUAAUGAGUAUGAUUUAAAAUGUCACCCAAAUAAAGAAAUGUAAAAAUAUCACCACCACUCUCUGAGUCCUCUUUAUUGCUUUCCCCAAUUCAACUACUAGUUUACUACCUUUCCACUUUCUCUGCAUUUCCCUAAAAAAUGGAAUUGAGGCAAACAUUUUUAAGGAUCAUUGGGUUAAAUUCCAUACACUUAAGGAAAAGGUUGCCACCCUCUUCAGAAAACACCUCCUUGUGCCACUAUGUGACAAGGCAUCAAAUAUUUUAAUACAAUUGCUAAGAAGACAGUAGUCUUGGGCCUGGCACAGUGGUUCAUGCCUGUAAUCCCAGCAUUUUGGGAGGCCGAGGUGGGUGCAUCACUUGAGCUCAGGAGUUCGAGACCAGCCUCGGCAAAAAAGUGAAACCCCAUCUCUACAAAAAAAAACAAAACAAUUAGCCAGGCAUGGUGGUGCAUGCCUGAAAUCCCAGCAACUCAGGAGGCUAAUGUGGGAGGAUGGCUUAAGCCCGGGAGGCAGAGGU
This 712-nucleotide long non-coding RNA is filed under the name Homo sapiens (human). RNAcentral describes it as "HSALNT0101957". Lineage: Eukaryota; Metazoa; Chordata; Mammalia; Primates; Hominidae. The record is from RNAcentral.